Molecule: unclassified non-coding RNA, 257 nt
Filed under: Hevea brasiliensis (rubber tree)
Lineage: Eukaryota; Viridiplantae; Streptophyta; Magnoliopsida; Malpighiales; Euphorbiaceae
Source: RNAcentral
CUUGUUAUUCCAUUUUUUCAUUUGAACAGUGUCUGGCAAGAUUCCAGCAAAUUUGGAGACAUAUUUGAUGAAGAUUUCUUUAUACAUGCGCUUAAGAAUGAUGUGGAUGUAGUUCCAGAACUCCCAAGAGAAGUACUUGACCAGUUUGACAAUAAUAUAAGUAGUAUUGUAAAUUUGAGAGUAAAGGCGUGGUCCAGUCCAGCCUACUAUCUUCAGAAAGUGCUUCCAAAGCUGAUGCAGAUGCGUUCGCAUUGCCC